This 495-nucleotide ribosomal RNA is filed under the name uncultured bacterium. Its description in RNAcentral is "partial 16S ribosomal RNA". It matches the Rfam family "Bacterial small subunit ribosomal RNA", at positions 28 to 507 of the family's 1533-position model. The record is from RNAcentral.
GACGAACGCUGGCGGCGUGCCUAAUACAUGCAAGUAGAACGCUGAAGGAGGAGCUUGCUUCUCUGGAUGAGUUGCGAACGGGUGAGUAACGCGUAGGUAACCUGCCUGGUAGCGGGGGAUAACUAUUGGAAACGAUAGCUAAUACCGCAUAAGAGUAGAUGUUGCAUGACAUUUGCUUAAAAGGUGCAAUUGCAUCACUACCAGAUGGACCUGCGUUGUAUUAGCUAGCUGGUGGGGUAACGGCUCACCAAGGCGACGAUACAUAGCCGACCUGAGAGGGUGAUCGGCCACACUGGGACUGAGACACGGCCCAGACUCCUACGGGAGGCAGCAGUAGGGAAUCUUCGGCAAUGGACGGAAGUCUGACCGAGCAACGCCGCGUGAGUGAAGAAGGUUUUCGGAUCGUAAAGCUCUGUUGUAAGAGAAGAACGAGUGUGAGAGUGGAAAGUUCACACUGCGACGGUAUCUUACCAGAAAGGGACGGCUAACUACGUG